AAGCCAAUUUGAUUUUAGGAAGAGCCAACAUGACAGAGUCAAGAGCCAUACCAUAACCAGCUUGGUAUCCUGUGCCAGAAGCACCGUAAUCAUGAACAAGGGGGACUGAGGUGCCGGGAACAACAUCAAGCUCUACGCGGGCACCACCCUUUCGAGAAGGACGGAAUCCGACACAUUCUUGAAUAAUUUCAGCACCCUCCGGACCCUUGCCGUGGAACAAUUCUGGCAUCAAAGCCGAUGUUCUCUUAAGGAUAUCCAAAGUGUCUUCAGGGUGAAUUUCACGAUCCCAGUUUCCUGGUUGCAUGAAACCGCCGCAAAUGACUCCACCAUUUAAGGGACGAGGAAUAAUAUAGGUAUCAGAGUUCUUGCCAUUCAAAAUGCGAGUUUCUGUUACAUGAGGAGCCUUAACCAAAACAACAUGUCCACGAGUCGGAUAAACGUCCGGGUCUUCAACGCCACCCAAUUUGGAAGCCCAGAGACCAGUGCAAUUAAAUACUACUGAAGCUUCUGGAGUUUCUUCGACAGUCUCUUUGAUGUGACUCAAUUCUUUCUUUUCAAAUUCGACGCCAGCUUCAAUGAGCAGCUUGUACAUAUAAUUCAAGUAAUGAGGAGCGUUGAUUAAAAAGGUGGUGGCCUUAUGUCCGUAGAUACAUUCUCCUGGAAGAUCUUUUUCAGGGAUAACUUUGAAAUCUCUGACAUAGGUAUUCCAGGAUCUGAUUUUGUCGUGUUUCGGCUCGUACUCCCACAAUUCUCGAAGAUCAGCAAAACGGAUUCCUGCUUCAGGACGAGUUUUCGCCAAGUAGGCGAAACGAUGGUAAGUGAUUUUAUCCCAGCGCAAAGCAUUGUCAUCAGUAGCAGAAAUGCUACAGAAAUUUGCGCCAGCCCAAGGGGAAGUGUAUUCUACAGAACGAUCUUCAGGCGUAUACUUGGCAAUCACCUUAAUACGAGGAGCAAGACCCAAGUCUGAAAGAAUCCAAGCAGUGGUCAAUCCAAUAACGCCAGCGCCAACGAUGACAAUAUCUCUUGGCUUAUUUUCCUUAGUCAUUGUUUAUAUUAAAAACGGGAAGGAGAGAAAUCGAGAGAGCAAUGGUUGAGUAGAAGGAGAAAGGGCAAUUAGACUGCGAAUUUAAAACGCGAAGCAGGGGGAAACGAGUGCGCAAAUAAUUUAUAUCUAAAUAUUAGAAGCAAGUUAGCAGUCUGAACCCUAAUUGGCAAUGUCAUUAACGGAUUAGAGGUAGAGUAAAAAAUUAAAAGCAGUUACAAUGGGAAAAUACAGUGUAACAGGCAAAUCAAGUAUUAGAGGAUUGAAGUUAAACAGUACCAUAUU
Molecule: non-coding RNA, 1327 nt
Organism: Schizosaccharomyces pombe (fission yeast)
Lineage: Eukaryota; Fungi; Ascomycota; Schizosaccharomycetes; Schizosaccharomycetales; Schizosaccharomycetaceae
Source: the annotation of a GenBank genome assembly